RNAcentral lists this small RNA (85 nucleotides) under Flavobacterium glaciei. RNAcentral's name for it is "Flavo-1 RNA". It matches the Rfam family "Flavo-1 RNA". The record is from RNAcentral. Lineage: Bacteria; Pseudomonadati; Bacteroidota; Flavobacteriia; Flavobacteriales; Flavobacteriaceae.
UUUUAGCCCUGAUCGAAGCGGCAUCCUUUACAGUUAGUGUUUCUUACGAGGACUAUUAAAGAUACAGCGGAUAGCAGGAUGAGCU